Molecule: long non-coding RNA, 1963 nt
Organism: Castor canadensis (American beaver)
Lineage: Eukaryota; Metazoa; Chordata; Mammalia; Rodentia; Castoridae
Source: RefSeq, a predicted model, not a curated record
UAUCUGCCCUAAGGUUUCCUGGAAUCACACUGAGUAUAGAGUAUGGGGCAGCAGCUUUUUUUGGUUAAGUUCAGCUGGGAAUGAUGACUCUCCUUCUCUGGAUCCAUGGCUUCCCUCCAGUGAAGGAACGGGGGUUCCCAUGCAACUUGCCCCUGGAACUCUUGCAACCCAUUUUCCUCCAGCUUGGGAUUUAGAAGACAGCCUGAGACAUCACUUUGCUUUGCUUUUGGACCUAAUUGAGGAUGAUGCUCUAUCUCCCACGGAAACCACCUCUUGCACCCUUCUGUGAGAUUAACCUCCGCAAAGGAUUUAGGAUAGAAAGUACAAGGCAAAUGUUUCUUGUGCACCUCAAUUUGGAAAAGGAUGGCAUUUGAGGAGAAGUAGAAUAUGACAGCAGAGAUAAUUUGAGCACACUGUUAUUUAACAAGGACAUUUCUGUCUCUGCAGAAGGUCACCACUUGGAGGAAACCAGUUUGGACUACUUUAUAAGCAGUUUGACCAUCCAGCUACCCAUUUUCCCAAAGCCUGGAAGAGAUAGUUUUUAAAGUGCACUACCUGAGUCCCCUGAAGAAUGAGCACAGAAUUAGAGAACAAUGAUCUAUCUUAACCAAAGACUCGAGCAACACGUGAAGUCUAAUACAGAUUUAUCCAGAAAGUGUCCAAAUCAUCGUAAGAGCUUUGGGUUAAAUGAAAGAGGCACAAACAAACAGGGGAAAAGCAGUGUGAAAGCCUGAAAGACCAUACAUCUUGAAGAGGAUUAACAUAACUGAGAAUUACUCUGGGAAUCCAGGAGAAAGAAGUCAAGCUUGUCUGAAGCAGUUUCUUCUGCGUGGCGAGAGAAACCCGCCAACUCCAUGUUUACCAAUUGGACCAUGAGCUUUUAACUAGAGAAAAGGCUUUUGGUUCAGACUAAAGCAAUUGCUACUGAGUCACCAGAUUAAGUGAAUAAGUUUGGGUGCCCCAUGGAUCUGGGCUGCAGAAAUGGGGAUUAAAUCUUAGUUACACUGAGAAAGUUCUCUCCAAGCAAAAGGCAACAGGACUGUUUCUUGAGAAACUUUACAUCAUGUGACACGACCUGCCAAGGGAACUGAAAAAGACUUAAAAAGUUAAGACGUCAAGAAGGCUUCUGGAAAAACUCAGCAAGGUGCCCCAGACUAGCUCCAGUGACUAUGCAACCAAGCUCCCACUCUUCCUAGGAACACAGUUAAAACCUGAGCUAAAGAAACUGAGAAAUACAUAAAGUCUUUGACCUAAGUGUUGAAUUUGCUGUCUUCUGCAUGCCCCUAGAAUGGCAAAGCACUGAGUUUCCAGAAAACUCUUGCAUGUGUUUUUGUUACCCCAAACCUCUCCAUAUUCUCUUAACUUUUUCAGAAUCACAUUUUCUCUCUUCUUUGCAAUUGUAUUUGGAAAGAAUGCAGAUCUCCUCCAUGGUUUUAAACUUAAACUAUUCCAUUUAUUUCUUAGCUGUGAAAGAAAAUUCCCAAAAUACCAUGCUCUACUUUGUAAACCCUGGAUAUAGUGACUCUUUUAUGCACAUUAUGAGGAGGGUGUGGAGAAAGUGGAAUUCUCAUGCAAAUUACUACAACUUUGGAAAAUAGUUUCACAAUAUCUGCUAAAGCUGAGCAUAAACAUAGCUGGUGAUCCAGAUAUGUCACGCUACACAAAGCACAAAAUGUGUGCAGAUGCAGUACAUGGCAGGUACAUGUUCAUUCUAGCACUGUGCAAAAUCACCCCCAACUGUCAACAACCCAAGUGCAUCACAAAACUGUGGUGCUUCAAUUGAAACCAUACAGCAAUGAACAUUAGCCAGCCAAUGCUGCAGGUGACAACAUGAAUAAAUCCUGCAGAUGUAAUACUGAGUAGAAGAAGCCAAGUUCAAAAGACUACGUGCUAUAGAAUUUCAUUUAUGUACAACUCAAAAGCAAGUCAAAUUAAUUCAUGUGAAGUCAGGGCAGUAAUUAUU